CGCGUGGGAACAUACCCAGAGGUACGGAACAACAGUUAGAAAUGACUGCUAAUACCGUAUACGCCCUACCGGGGAAAAGAAUUUACGCCCCUUGGGAUUGGCCCGCCGUUGGAUUAGAUAGUUGGUGGGGUAACGGGCCUACCAAGUCUACGAUCCAUAGCUGGUUUGUAGAGGAUGAUCAGCCACACUGGGACUGAGACACGGCCCAGACUCCUACGGGAGGCAGCAGUGGGGAAUCUUAGACAAUGGGCGCAAGCCUGAUCUAGCCAUGCCGCGUGUGUGAUGAAGGUCUUAGGAUCG
This 300-nucleotide ribosomal RNA is filed under the name uncultured Paracoccaceae bacterium. RNAcentral describes it as "bacterial SSU rRNA". It matches the Rfam family "Bacterial small subunit ribosomal RNA", at positions 114 to 425 of the family's 1533-position model. The record is from RNAcentral. Lineage: Bacteria; Pseudomonadati; Pseudomonadota; Alphaproteobacteria; Rhodobacterales; Paracoccaceae.